AGCAGCCGCGGUAAUUCCAGCUCCAAUAGCGUAUAUUAAAGUUGUUGCAGUUAAAAAGCUCGUAGUUGAAUUUUUGAUUCUUCCAAUUGGUCCAUCUUUUAGAUGAGUACUGGUUGUGUGGGGUCUAUCCGCCUGGUGAUACGUAAUGUCCUUUAUUGGAUGUUGCGGGUAGUCAGGACCUUUACCUUGAAAAAAUUAGAGUGUUUAAAGCAGGCUUAUGCCGGAAUACAUUAGCAUGGAAUAAUAGAAUAGGACGAAGUUGUUUUAUUUUGUUGGUUUCUAGGACAACCGUAAUGAUUAAUAGGGAUAGUUGGGGGCAUUAGUAUUCAAUUGUCAGAGGUGAAAUUCUUGGAUUUAUUGAAGACUAACUACUGCGAAAGCAUUUGCCAAGGAUGUUUUCAUUAAUCAAGAACGAAAGUUAGGGGAUCGAAGACGAUCAGAUACCGUCGUAGUCUUAACCAUAAACUAUGCCGACUAGGGAUCGGGCGAUGUUGUUUCCAUGACUCGCU
This 509-nucleotide ribosomal RNA is filed under the name uncultured Archaeospora. RNAcentral's name for it is "SSU rRNA". It matches the Rfam family "Eukaryotic small subunit ribosomal RNA", at positions 569 to 1080 of the family's 1831-position model. Lineage: Eukaryota; Fungi; Glomeromycota; Glomeromycetes; Archaeosporales; Archaeosporaceae. The record is from RNAcentral.